AGAUGGCGACCGGCGCACGGGUGGGUAACACGUAUCCAACCUGCCGAUAACUCGGGGAUAGCCUUUCGAAAGAAAGAUUAAUACCCGAUGGCAUAAUUAGACCGCAUGGUCUUAUUAUUAAAGAAUUUCGGUUAUCGAUGGGGAUGCGUUCCAUUAGGCAGUUGGUGAGGUAACGGCUCACCAAACCUUCGAUGGAUAGGGGUUCUGAGAGGAAGGUCCCCCACAUUGGAACUGAGACACGGUCCAA
RNAcentral lists this ribosomal RNA (247 nucleotides) under uncultured bacterium. RNAcentral's name for it is "partial 16S ribosomal RNA". It matches the Rfam family "Bacterial small subunit ribosomal RNA", at positions 86 to 334 of the family's 1533-position model. The record is from RNAcentral.